AUCCAACUAAUGAGUCCCAAAUAGGACGAAACGCGCAUCUUAAAU
Molecule: non-coding RNA, 45 nt
Filed under: Schistosoma mattheei
Lineage: Eukaryota; Metazoa; Platyhelminthes; Trematoda; Strigeidida; Schistosomatidae
Source: RNAcentral